This 645-nucleotide ribosomal RNA is filed under the name uncultured bacterium. RNAcentral describes it as "bacterial SSU rRNA". It matches the Rfam family "Bacterial small subunit ribosomal RNA", at positions 91 to 713 of the family's 1533-position model. The record is from RNAcentral.
UAAAGUGGCGCACGGGUGAGUAACGCGUGGGUAACCUGUCCUUAAAUUUGGGAUAAUCCACCGAAAGGUGGCCUAAUACCAAAUAUAGUCCCGAGAACCAAGGUUCUUGGGAUGAAAGCUGACCUCUUCAUGAAAGUUGGCGUUUGAGGAGGGGCUCGCGUACCAUUAGCUUGUUGGUAGGGUAAUGGCCUACCAAGGCGACGAUGGUUAGCUGGUCUGAGAAGAUGGCCAGCCACACUGGAACUGAAACACGGUCCAGACUCCUACGGGAGGCAGCAGUGAGGAAUCUUGCGCAAUGGGGGAAACCCUGACGCAGCGACGCCGUGUGAGUGAAGAAGGCCUUCGGGUCGUAAAGCUCUGUCAAGUGGGAAUAAAGUCCCGCGGUGAAUACCCGAGAGAUUUGAAGGUACCACUAAAGGAAGCACCGGCUAACUCCGUGCCAGCAGCCGCGGUAAUACGGAGGGUGCAAGCGUUAUUCGGAUUUAUUGGGCGUAAAGAGCGUGUAGGCGGUUGGGAUAGUCAGAUGUGAAAGCCUUCUGCUCAACAGAAGAAGUACGUCUGAAACUGCCCAACUUGAGUACGAGAGAGGAAAGUGGAAUUCCCAGUGUAGAGGUGAAAUUCGUAGAUAUUGGGAGGAACACCUGU